This is a long non-coding RNA of Anguilla rostrata (American eel), 3212 nucleotides long. RefSeq lists it as uncharacterized. The record is from RefSeq and is a predicted model, not a curated record. The transcript is spliced from 3 exons. NCBI's taxonomy places the organism in Eukaryota, Metazoa, Chordata, Actinopteri, Anguilliformes, Anguillidae.
GUAAGGUAGGCUAUGCUGAGCGAGCAACUGCGUUUGUAGACUGACCUACAGCCUACGCGUUGGCCCAGUAGUCAGCGUUUGCAAACGUCAGAUCCGACAAAUGAUUUAAAUCGUCAGUCCUUUCGCGACGGGUGCAGUGUGGACUGAGAAAACUGACUCACCUCACUAAAUCUUCAUGAAGAAGUCUCCACGCGUUAUUUUAAUGUUACAAUCAGAAUCGAAAGUCAGAGGCUACGUUAUCGAACACAGCAGGCUAACUAUCCAUUUGGUUCUCUUCGACGCAAAACAGCUACAUUUGCAGACGGACUGGAACUGACAUAGGAUAUGUAAGGUGCGCAGACGGAACAGCGCCGGCGAAUCACCUCGCGGGAAAACGUCAAGAAAACACCUGUGACUUUCCCUUUUGCUUCCAAGAAGGUUUCCACCCGAGAGAAGGAAACGUUUCUCUUAUCUUGCAAAUGCUGCAGAUAAGCGAAACGCUUGAAACCUAUUGGUGAUGGAAUACUUGGUCAUCUCACGACGCACACCAAGAGAUUAUUGAUUGAUAAUCCGUGAAAGAUUUGAAGCGGUAUCUUUUUCGAACGAAUUGUUUGUCUAGCGCUGUAUUUUAUUCUUAUCUCCCAAUGUGGGAACACGUGCUAAGCAAUUGAGGCCGGUUUCCCAUAUAUGGAUUACACCUAGUCUUUGACAAAAAGAAUCAUUCUAUAAAGAUCUCCACUGAAAACAUUUUUAGUCUUGGACUAGGUUUAAUCAAUGUCUGGAAAACCAGCCCUAGGUGUAUAAAAAGGUAGCCUAUAAAUUAAUUCUGUAGCCAUAUUUUUGCACGUGUGAAGCAGCCUAGUUUGGUAAAAGGCGCUGUGGUUAUUUUAGUUUACCUCAUAACCAGAGAACAAUUGUCUUUACCCGUGUUUUUUAUUCUGAAAAUAUAUCUCCAGAAUCUAUAAAUUACCAGCCUAACAAACAGAACACUUGAUCGAAUUGAAUGCAACUAAAUUCUUACUGAAGAAAAAACAAAACUUGGCUUAAAAAAAGCCAAAAAAAACUUAAACUGGCUUUUUACCGGCCUACAUGUCAUCACCAAAGAAACCACCCAAAAUAUUGUAAUUUCAUCUCAGGGACGCGUCCAAGUUGCUACUGAAAUAUAAUCAGUAUAUUUACAAUGGUAAGAUGAAUUUGGGGAAAGAAAAGGCUUUAAUACGACACGCAGUUGGCGAAUACCAGGUCGCUCUUAUAUCCUGGAUGGCGGUGAGUGGCCGUUCAGCCACUCUAAACGAGAGAACGAGAAACAGUUACCAAGCAACUAGCAAAAGUAAUCGCCAUCGCCAGGUGGCGCAUUCCGUCCGUGGGUCACAGCGUUGCGUGGCGAGGGCGGGGGUAAUAAGUACAGUCCUGAGUCUUUCGGUCAAAUAGCUGGUGUCAGGUGAUGGCAUCUUCCAACUGACAGUAGUAGUGUGUAUCACUUGAAGGUGCUGAGCUUGAAGCGCUGGUCAGAGACGGGUUGGAGGGGAGCUGGCUGGUAACAGCUGGAAACAGUUGUCAGGUUUCCAUUGCAUGGGGCUGAGUAAAGAUGAGUAUGUGGAACACUUCUGCAAGUGAUGCAAGAGGGCCCAGGGGUUGGAAAACCUGCAUUGCUGCCUCAUUUAUUCCUCAUAUCAGUUAUGAUCAAUUUAUGAAGAUUAAAACUAUGAUGCAUGUGUAGGUAUUCAGGUAAGCUACAAGGCACGUCUAAAAAUAAUUUAUACCCCACUGCAUCACUGGGGAAAAACGCAUGUAAACCUACAGUUCACAACAGCAACCCCUAAUGGAGAUUAGUAUUGCAAACAGAAAAAACAAUAACAAAGUUCUCCACUUUCAACAGCAGCCCUCCUGUUAUAGUUGAAUUAUAGACAUCCAGGAUCAAUUGCAGUGUACCAUAUGUAGGAGACUAGCAUGGGUUUUACUCUAGACCCUACAUAUUUUAUAAACCAAGUUUCAGACCCUUGAACUUUCUGGGUGCUCACCAGCUAAUUUUCUUGUCUUUUUUUGAUCACAUUCCCUACACCUGCUGCAGAUCAGAUUUUGCAAAAGGCUGAACACAAUUAACUACUCUUUGUACUUCACCCACAUCUUUCCACCGUACAUAUACAGCACGUACAGCAUAAAUAUAUUUCUGUGUAUUUUGUUACACUUUAAAAUAGAAGAAAUACUUACAGCUGAAGUCGGAAGUUUACAUACACUUAGGUUGAAGUCAUUAAAACUCAUUUUUAACCACUCCACAGAUUUCAUGUUAGCAAACUAUAGUGUUGGCAAGUCAGUUAGGACAUCUACUUUGUGCAUGACACAAGUAAUUUUUCCAACAAUUGUUUACAGACAGAUUAUUUCACUUUUAAUUCACUAUAUCACAAUUCCAGUGGGUCAGGGGUUAGGGUACACUAAGUUGACUGUGCCUUUAAACAGCUUGGAAAAUUCCAGAAAAUUAUGUCAUGGCUUUAGAAACUUCUUAUAGGCUAAUUGACAUUAUUUGAGUCAAUUGGAGGUGUACCUGUGGAUGUAUUUUAAGGCCUACCUUCAAACUCAGUGCCUGUUUGCUUGACAUCAUGGGAAAAUCAAAAGAAAUCAGCCAAGACCUCAGAAAGAAAAUUGUGGACCUCCACAAGUCUGGUUCAUCCUUGGGAGCAAUUUCCAAAUGCUUUGGUGUGAAAAGUGCAAAUCAAUCACAGAACAACAGCAAAGGACCUUGUGAAGAUGCUGGAGGGAACAGGUACAAAAGUAUCUAUAUCCACAGUAAAAACGAGAAAUGUCCUCUGGUCUGAUGAAACAAAAGUGCAACUGUUUCAUAAUGCCAUAAUGAUCAUCGUUUGGAGGAAAAAGGGUGAGGCUUGCAAGCCGAAGAACACCAUCCCAACUGUGAAGCAGAGGGGUGGCAGCAUCAUGUUGUGGGGAUGCUUUGCUGUAGGAGGGACUGGUGCACUUCACAAAAUAGAUGGUAUCAUGAGGAAGAAAAAUUAUGUGGAUAUAUUGAAGCAACAUCUCAACACAUCCGCCAGGAAGUUAAGGCUUGGUUGCAAAUGGCUCUUCCAAAUGGACAAUGACCCAAAGCAUACUUCUAAUGUUGUGGAAAAAUGGCUUAAGGACAACAAAGUCAAGGUAUUGGAGUGGCCAUCACAAAGUCCUGACCGCAAUCCAGUCGAAAAUUUGUUGGCAGAACUGAAAAGGCAUGUGCGAGCAAGGAG